GUGCCAGCAGCCGCGGUAAUACCGGCGCCUCAAGUGGUCGUCGCUUUUAUUGGGCCUAAAACGUCCGUAGCCGGUUUGGUACAUUCGUGGGUAAAUCAGCUCGCUCAACGAGCUGAAUUCUGCGAGCACGGCCAGACUAGGGACCGGGAGAGGUGUGGGGAACUCUCAGGGUAGGGGUAAAAUCCUGUCAUCCUGAGAGGACCACCUGUUGCGAAGGCGCCACACUAGAACGGAUCCGACGGUCAGGGACGAAGCCUAGGGGCACGAACCGGAUUAGAUACCCGGGUAGUCCUAGGUGUAAACGCUGUGGACUUGGUGUUGGGUGCGCUCCGAGCGCUUCCAGUGCCGUAGCGAAGGUGUUGAGUCCACUGCCUGGGGAGUACGGUCGCAAGGCGGAAACUUAAAGGAAUUGGCGGGGGAGCACUGCAACCGGAGGAUUGUGCGGUUUAAUUGGAUUCAACGCCGGAAAACUCACCAGCAUCGACGGACAAAUGAAGGCCAACUUGACGAGUUUGCUGGAUUGCUCGAGAGGUCGUGCAUGGCCGCCGUCAGUUCGUACCGUAAGGCGUUCUGUUAAGUCAGAUAACGAACGAGACCCCCAUCCCUAUUUGCUAGCGGAAUCGUCAGAUUCCGUGGACUAUAGGGAGACCGCUGGCGCUAAGUCAGAGGAAGGUGGGGGCAACGGUAGGUCAGUAUGCGCCGAAUAUGCUGGGCUACACGCGCAAUACAAAGGACAGGACAAUGAGAAGCCAGGCCGAGAGGCCGAGCUAACCCGAAACCCGUUCAUAGUUCGGAUCGAGGGCUGUAACUCGCCCUCGUGAAGCUGGAUUCCGUAGUAAUCGUGUUUCAAUAUAGCACGGUGAAUAUGCCCCUGCUCCUUGCACUCACCGCCCGUC
RNAcentral lists this ribosomal RNA (896 nucleotides) under uncultured marine archaeon. RNAcentral's name for it is "SSU rRNA". It matches the Rfam family "Archaeal small subunit ribosomal RNA", at positions 455 to 1354 of the family's 1478-position model. The record is from RNAcentral.